This 254-nucleotide ribosomal RNA is filed under the name uncultured bacterium. RNAcentral's name for it is "partial 16S ribosomal RNA". It matches the Rfam family "Bacterial small subunit ribosomal RNA", at positions 524 to 776 of the family's 1533-position model. The record is from RNAcentral.
UACGGGGGGGGUAAGCGUUGUUCGGAAUUACUGGGCGUAAAGGGCUCGUAGGCGGCCAACUAAGUCAGACGUGAAAUCCCUCAGCUUACUCGGGUGAACUGCGUCUGAUACUGGAUGGCUUGGAGUUGGGAGAGGGAUGCGGAAUUCCAGGUGUAGCGGUGAAAUGCGUAGAUAUCGGGAGGAACACCUGUGGCGAAAGCGGCUCACUGGACCACAACUGACGCUGAGGCGCGAAAGCUAGGGGAGCAAACAGG